This 253-nucleotide ribosomal RNA is filed under the name uncultured bacterium. RNAcentral describes it as "partial 16S ribosomal RNA". It matches the Rfam family "Bacterial small subunit ribosomal RNA", at positions 524 to 776 of the family's 1533-position model. The record is from RNAcentral.
UACGGAGGGUGCGAGCGUUGUCCGGAAUCACUGGGCGUAAAGGGCGCGUAGGCGGCCUGAUAAGUAGGGGGUGAAAUCCUGCGGCUUAACCGCAGGGCUGCCUUCUAAACUGUCAGGCUAGAGCACAGUAGAGGCAGGUGGAAUUCCCGGUGUAGCGGUGGAAUGCGUAGAGAUCGGGAAGAAUAUCCGUGGCGAAGGCGGCUCUCUGGUACGGCACUGACGCUGAGACGCGAAAGCGUGGGGAGCGAACAGG